UCAUACAACUAGUAAGCAAUACUGUUGGCACCAAAUCAUUUCCUUUUUCCCCAAAGCCUCUAGCCUUUCCCAGGAUGCUCUAUUGCCUUCUGACAUUCCUCCAGUCCUCCAAAUGCCUAUUUGCCAGAAACUAAGGUAGUGGCUCUUGCCUACUGUGACUGCAUUUGCAAAAUGACCUUCUGUGCUCCAGGCCUCUCUCCAGCAAACCAUCCAUUUCUGUAACAUUCACCAAGCUUCCCCUAGGAGAAAACUCAACCCUGCAGAAACAAGGGAGGCACAGCUUCCCCCAGCACAAUUUCCCAGUUCGUGUUUUCCUAAGAAAGAGAUUGUAAUGAAAGAGCUCAGAGUCACAAAUUUCCCCAUAUUACAGUCUUAAGUAAUCUCUCUGUAAUUGUUUCCACACCUGUAAAUCAGGGAAGUUUAAGCCCUUGGACAGCUUCCCUGAAACUCAACCCAUGAGUUACAAAAACUAGCAGAGGAUUUUCUCUGAGGCAGAUCCCUGCUCUUCCCCCCUCUGCCCUUUGUUCCUAAGUCAUAUGUACUAUCUGCUGUGUCCUGGACUUCAAACCAUUCAACUGGUACUUCUGAGCAGCAAAAAGUAAUGUAACUGUAAAAUGGAAAAUAUCAUUUCUUUUUCUAAUUUUUUUAAAGAAAAAAAAGGGCUACAAUCUUCACUAUGUCGAUCAUUUCCACACAGGCAUUCAUUUCAUCUAUGGAAACCCAAACAGCAAAGAUGAAUAUUCUAAAAGAAAAACAGCUGUUAGGGAUAUGAGAAGGUGGUCAAACAGAGAAAUAAGGACAUGGGCUGUGCACAGCCAAGAAAAAAAAAUAAUGGAGAGAAAUUCAAGCUGCGCUGCAUACCAAAUCCUGAGGCAUACCUAACAUCCCAGCCCACAGAACUAUUCAGAGGACUGAAAUGGCCUGCCUCCCAAGCCCCUCAUGACUGCACUGACUUUUCGUCUCUAUUUAUGAUCAAAGACUGCUCUGUAUGAUAAAUAUUUAUAUGGUUCAUUAAGUAAGGGCUUGUAUAAAUAUUAUUAGAAAUCUGCCAUGGGAAACCACCGAUUUCACUGCUGAUUCUUCAACAAACUGCCAACUGUUAAAAUGCCAUGUGAGAAUGGAAACAAAACGUGGAAAUUGAGGUUGUUCUUUGCAAAACUAUUUCACCAAUUACAAAGAGGAGAGAGAAGUUGGAGGUCUGCAAUCCAGAAGACAGCCCGCACCACACUCCAAAUCUGCCAGCACCUUCAUCCUGGAUACCUGUCUCCAGAACUAUGAGAAAUAGGCUUCUGAUAAAAGACACCCAUUUAUGGCAUUUUGUUAUAGCACACAAA
This is a non-coding RNA of Heterocephalus glaber (naked mole-rat), 1334 nucleotides long. Lineage: Eukaryota; Metazoa; Chordata; Mammalia; Rodentia; Bathyergidae. The record is from RefSeq and is a predicted model, not a curated record.